AUUGAACGCUGGCGGCAGGCCUAACACAUGCAAGUCGAACGAGUGGCGGACGGGUGAGUAAUGUCUGGGAAACUGCCCGAUGGAGGGGGAUAACUACUGGACACGGUAGCUAAUACCGCAUACCAUCGGAUGUGCCCAGAUGGGAUUAGCUAGUAGGUGGGGUACCGGCUCACCUAGGCGAAGCUCCCUAGCUGGUAUGAGAGGAUCACCAGCCACACUGGAACGGAGACAUGGUCCAGAAUCCUACGGGAGGCAGCAGUGGGGAAUAUUGCACAAUGGGCGCAAGCCUGAUGCAGCCAUGCCGCGUGUAUGAAGAAGGCCUUCGGGUUGUAAAGUACUUUCAGCGAGGAGGCGUUACUCGCAGAAGAAGCGCCGGCUAACUCCGUGCCAGCAGCCGCGGUAAUUC
Molecule: ribosomal RNA, 406 nt
Filed under: uncultured bacterium
Lineage: Bacteria
Description: partial 16S ribosomal RNA
Rfam family: Bacterial small subunit ribosomal RNA
Source: RNAcentral